AUAAAUGCGAUGAUGAGGAGAGUAAACGUUAACGAACUGUCAGUGAGUUCCGGUAAGUGUGAAGGAAUCAGCUAGUUAACGGCGAAAGUAACCUUUGAGCAGCGAAUGCGACGUUUGGAAGUGUUCGCGGUGAGUCCGCCUUACUGGACUAGCGUAUCGUUACGAUGGUAGCCGUACGCGAAAAGGUGACGUUUGUGAGAACGUGACAAAUUAAGGUGGUACAGCGCACAAAGCGCCCUUGUU
This 243-nucleotide non-coding RNA is filed under the name Secundilactobacillus odoratitofui. Its description in RNAcentral is "Lactobacillus odoratitofui T-box sequence". It matches the Rfam family "T-box leader". Rfam says of the family: Uncharged tRNA acts as the effector for transcription antitermination of genes in the T-box leader family. T-boxes are found upstream of many aminoacyl-tRNA synthetase genes and some amino acid biosynthetic genes usually in Gram-positive bacteria. The record is from RNAcentral. Lineage: Bacteria; Bacillati; Bacillota; Bacilli; Lactobacillales; Lactobacillaceae.